ACACGCAUGACACACUGCAUAUCAAUAAGCGGAGGAAAAGAAACUAACAAGGAUUCCCUUAGUAACGGCGAGUGAAGCGGGAAGAGCUCAAAUUUGAAAUCUUCAAGGUUCUACCUUGACGAAUUGUAGUUUAUAGAAGUGUUUUCUGUUAGUAGAGUGGCAAAAGUUCUUUGGAAUAGGACAUCAUAGAGGGUGAGAAUCCCGUAUUUGGUCAUUCCUUCCUAGCUUUGUGAUACACUUUCAACGAGUCGGAUUGUUUGGGAAUGCAGUCCAAAAUGGGUGGUAAAUUUCAUCUAAAGCUAAAUAUUGGCGAGAGACCGAUAGCGAACAAGUACCGUGAGGGAAAGAUGAAAAGAACUUUGAAAAGAGAGUUAAACAGUACGUGAAAUUGUCAAAAGGGAAGCGUUUGACACCAGUGUUGUUUUUCCGAAAAUCAAUUACGAAUGUUUUGUUUUUAAGAAGUUAUGACUUCAUCGGCUUGCUUCUUUCUUUACGAAACUUUCUUAAUGCACUUUUCGGUUAACAAGUCAACAUCAAUUUCUUUUGUUGUAAAAGGGUAUGAGGAAGGUGGCUUUCUUUUCGGAGAAAGUGUUUAUAGCCUUGUACCUCUGCAAUCGGAGAGAUUGAGGUCUGCAGCGUAGAUCCUUCGGGGUUAGAUACAUUUGUGCUAAGUUAUAGCUUUUCAUAGACAACUUGUUGACUAUGUUAAGUCUUGUAGCUUACUCGCUUAUGCUAUUUUACCUACGCUUAGGAUGUUGAGCGCAUGUCUCUCUCU
This 775-nucleotide ribosomal RNA is filed under the name uncultured Neocallimastigales. RNAcentral describes it as "partial large subunit ribosomal RNA". It matches the Rfam family "Eukaryotic large subunit ribosomal RNA", at positions 23 to 637 of the family's 3401-position model. Lineage: Eukaryota; Fungi; Neocallimastigomycota; Neocallimastigomycetes; Neocallimastigales. The record is from RNAcentral.